AACAUACCUAAACGUUGCCUCGGCGGGAACAGACGGCCCCGUGAAAACGGGCCGCCCCCGCCAGAGGACCCCCUAACUCUGUUUCUAUAAUGUUUCUUCUGAGUAAAACAAGCAAAUAAAUUAAAACUUUCAACAACGGAUCUCUUGGCUCUGGCAUCGAUGAAGAACGCAGCGAAAUGCGAUAAGUAAUGUGAAUUGCAGAAUUCAGUGAAUCAUCGAAUCUUUGAACGCACAUUGCGCCCGCCAGUAUUCUGGCGGGCAUGCCUGUUCGAGCGUCAUUACAACCCUCAGGCCCCCGGGCCUGGCGUUGGGGAUCGGCGGAGGCCCCCCGUGGGCACACGCCGUCCCCCAAAUACAGUGGCGGUCCCGCCGCAGCUUCCAUCGCGUAGUAGCUAACACCUCGCGACUGGAGAGCGGCGCGGCCACGCCGUAAAACCCCCAACUCUUCUGAA
Molecule: unclassified non-coding RNA, 452 nt
Filed under: Fusarium metavorans
Lineage: Eukaryota; Fungi; Ascomycota; Sordariomycetes; Hypocreales; Nectriaceae
Description: sequence contains 18S rRNA gene, ITS1, 5.8S rRNA gene, ITS2, 28S rRNA gene
Rfam family: 5.8S ribosomal RNA (bases 125-278)
Source: RNAcentral